ACGCCGCGUGGAGGAUGAAGGUCUUUGGAUUGUAAACUUCUGUUAAUUGAGAAAAAAUGAUAAAAAAUAAUACUUUUUGUACAUGAUGUUAUCAAUUUAGAAAGCCCCGGACUAACUUCGUGCCAGCAGCCGCGGUAAUACGAAGGGGGCAAGCGUUAUUCGGAAUUAUUGGGCGUAAAGGAUGUGUAGGCGGCAUUAUAAGUUUAUUGUUUAAUUUCCCAGCCUAACUGGGAGCAUGCGAUAAAUACUGUAUUGCUAGAGUAUGAUAGAGAGAGGUGGAAUUUUCGGAGUAGCGGUUAAAUGCGUAGAUCUCGAAAGGAGCGCCAAUGGCGAAGGCAGCCUCUUGGGUCAUUACUGACGCUGAAACAUGAAGGCGUGGGGAGCAAACAGGAUUAGAUACCCUGGUAGUCCACGCAGUAAACGAUGAUCACUAAGCGUCUGGAAUUUAUUCUGGGUGCUGCAGCUAACGCGUUAAGUGGUCCGCCUGGGUAUUACGAUCGCAAGAUUAAAACUUAAAGAAAUUGACGGAGGUCCGCACAAGCGGUGGAACAUGUGGUCUAAUUCGAUACUACGCG
Molecule: ribosomal RNA, 575 nt
Filed under: uncultured archaeon
Lineage: Archaea
Description: bacterial SSU rRNA
Rfam family: Bacterial small subunit ribosomal RNA
Source: RNAcentral